This 111-nucleotide non-coding RNA is filed under the name Hyphomicrobium sp. ghe19. RNAcentral's name for it is "TPP". It matches the Rfam family "TPP riboswitch aptamer (THI element)". Rfam says of the family: Vitamin B(1) in its active form thiamin pyrophosphate (TPP) is an essential coenzyme that is synthesised by coupling of pyrimidine and thiazole moieties in bacteria. Lineage: Bacteria; Pseudomonadati; Pseudomonadota; Alphaproteobacteria; Hyphomicrobiales; Hyphomicrobiaceae. The record is from RNAcentral.
UCGUUUUCCGAGGGGCGCCGGUGAUCCGGCUGAGAUCGCGUAGUGAAAGCGCGAGCACCCUUCGAACCUGAUCCGGGUUAUGCCGGCGAAGGGACGGAGCACAGAGUGGCA